CAGUAUGGGGACACUCCAUUUCACAAAUUGUUGCAAAGUGACCACGAAUACCAAGUUCACCAGGACGGAACCCAAACCUAGUUAGGCCUACAUGCUGUAGCUGUGGAGCUGACCUGAGUCCAUUGAACCAGUGUCUCAGGUUAAAUCUACCGAUCCAUCAAUAAGUGCGAAGUCGAUGUACAAUUAUUGUCAGAGCGGAACACGAUGUGUAUAAAAUUGCCGGAACUCAAGAUGCUAUCAAUAGCCGGAUUUAAUUCUACAAAAUAAUCGCGCGCGGAUAUUUAUUAGGAUAUAUCACUGGAUCGCCGGAAUUUAAUCAAAUUUGCCAAUUAUGUUUCUUAUACAACGAACAAGUAAUUCUCGAACGAUAUUACAUACUUAAAUAUAAUUAGGUCUAAGCAUUAUAUAUAUAUUAUAUUAUAUAAAACUAGAAUCUUUAUAUUCAAAUUAUUACGUUUAUAUAGUUCGGAUGUAACAUUUCCGAGUACGUAAGAAAUAAAAGUAAACUGUAUAUUUAUAA
Molecule: long non-coding RNA, 520 nt
Organism: Anneissia japonica
Lineage: Eukaryota; Metazoa; Echinodermata; Crinoidea; Comatulida; Comatulidae
Exons: 2
Source: RefSeq, a predicted model, not a curated record